ACCCGCCUGCUCGCUCUCCUUGGAAGAGGCCCUGCCAAGGUGAUCCAGUGGAAGCCACUGGGGGAAGGCAAGGAAGAGAGGCUGCUUUUAUGUCUGCCUUUCUGCUAGAAGAGACACAAAGCACAGCCUGAAUGCACACAUGCCACUAGCAGCCUGCCAUUCAGAUACUGAGCUGAAACUGAGCGAAUCCUGGACACUGACAUGCUUGGGUACCUACCAUCCUCCUGCCCCAUGUGGAGACUACGUCCACCUGGCUCAGAUGUCCCAGGUGAAAUCAAGAGAUCUAGGAAGGACUUAAACAGUCACAUAUAAAGUCUGUCUUUCAAUGCUGCAACCAGAAUCUCUUCAAACAAGACAAUCAAGGAGAGAUCUUAAGUAUGAUACAGAAGCUCAAAAUAUUACAAGAGCAAGAAGCCAUGAACAGCCUCUUCACGUGAAGUGAAAACGAGAGGCCCAGAAAGCUGAAGAAAUUUCCCUACAGCUGGA
This is a long non-coding RNA of Talpa occidentalis (Iberian mole), 486 nucleotides long. RefSeq lists it as uncharacterized. NCBI's taxonomy places the organism in Eukaryota, Metazoa, Chordata, Mammalia, Eulipotyphla, Talpidae. The record is from RefSeq and is a predicted model, not a curated record. The transcript is spliced from 3 exons.